Molecule: transfer RNA, 90 nt
Filed under: Methanothermococcus okinawensis
Lineage: Archaea; Methanobacteriati; Methanobacteriota; Methanococci; Methanococcales; Methanococcaceae
Also listed under: 3 other names
Description: tRNA-Ser
Rfam family: tRNA
About the family: Transfer RNA (tRNA) molecules are approximately 80 nucleotides in length. Their secondary structure includes four short double-helical elements and three loops (D, anti-codon, and T loops).
Source: RNAcentral
GCGGAGGUGGUCGAGCCUGGACUAAGGCGCCGGACUUGAAAUCCGGUGGGGCUCUGCCCCGCAAGGGUUCAAAUCCCUUCCUCCGCGCCA